CUGCGAAUGGCUCAUUAUAUAAGUUAUCGUUUAUUUGAUAAUACCUUACUACUUGGAUAACCGUGGUAAUUCUAGAGCUAAUACAUGCUAAAAACCCCGACUCCGGGAGGGGUGUAUUUAUUAGAUUAAAAACCAAUGCCCCCUGGGCUCUCUGGUGAUUCAUAAUAACUCCUCGAAUCGCAUGGCCUUGCGCCGGCGAUGGUUCAUUCAAAUUUCUUCCCUAUCAACUUUCGAUGUUUGGGUAGUGGCCAAACAUGGUUGCAACGGGUAACGGAGGGUUAGGGCUCGACCCCGGAGAAGGAGCCUGAGAAACGGCUACUACAUCCAAGGAAGGCAGCAGGCGCGCAAAUUACCCAAUCCCGACACGGGGAGGUAGUGACAAUAAAUACUGAUACAGGGCUCUUUUGGGUCUUGUAAUUGGAAUGAGUACAAUUUAAAUCCCUUAACGAGGAACAAUUGGAGGGCAAGUCUGGUGCCAGCAGCCGCGGUAAUUCCAGCUCCAAUAGCGUAUAUUAAAGUUGUUGUGGUUAAAAAGCUCGUAGUUGAACCUUGGGCCUGGCUGGCCGGUCCGCCUCACCGCGUGCACUGGUCCGGCCGGGCCUUUCCCUCUGUGGAACCCCAUGCCCUUCGCUGGGCGUGGCGGGGAAACAGGACUUUUACUUUGAAAAAAUUAGAGUGCUCCAGGCAGGCCUAUGCUCGAAUACAUUAGCAUGGAAUAAUGAAAUAGGACGUGCGGUUCUAUUUUGUUGGUUUCUAGGACCGCCGUAAUGAUUAAUAGGGACAGUCGGGGGCAUCAGUAUUCAAUUGUCAGAGGUGAAAUUCUUGGAUUUAUUGAAGACUAACUACUGCGAAAGCAUUUGCCAAGGAUGUUUUCAUUAAUCAGGAACGAAAGUUAGGGGAUCGAAGACGAUCAGAUACCGUCGUAGUCUUAACCAUAAACUAUGCCGACUAGGGAUCGGACGAUGUUAUUUUUUGACUCGUUCGGCACCUUACGAGAAAUCAAAGUGCUUGGGCUCCAGGGGGAG
Molecule: ribosomal RNA, 1025 nt
Filed under: Ophiocordyceps melolonthae
Lineage: Eukaryota; Fungi; Ascomycota; Sordariomycetes; Hypocreales; Ophiocordycipitaceae
Description: SSU rRNA
Rfam family: Eukaryotic small subunit ribosomal RNA
Source: RNAcentral